AUUGAACGCUGGCGGCAUGCUUUACACAUGCAAGUCGAACGGCAGCGCGGGCUUCGGCCUGGCGGCGAGUGGCGAACGGGUGAGUAAUACAUCGGAAAGUGCCCAGUAGUGGGGGAUAGCUCGGCGAAAGCCGGAUUAAUACCGCAUACGACCUGAGGGUGAAAGCGGGGGAUCUUCGGACCUCGCGCUAUUGGAGCGGCCGAUGGCAGAUUAGCUAGUUGGUGGGGUAAAGGCCUACCAAGGCGACGAUCUGUAGCUGGUCUGAGAGGACGACCAGCCACACUGGGACUGAGACACGGCCCAGACUCCUACGGGAGGCAGCAGUGGGGAAUUUUGGACAAUGGGCGAAAGCCUGAUCCAGCAAUGCCGCGUGUGUGAUGAAGGCCUUCGGGUUGUAAAGCACUUUUGGCGGGAACGAAAAGGAAUGUGCCAAUACCACGGUUCGAUGACGGUACCCGCAGAAUAAGCACCGGCUAACUACGUG
This 484-nucleotide ribosomal RNA is filed under the name uncultured bacterium. RNAcentral describes it as "partial 16S ribosomal RNA". It matches the Rfam family "Bacterial small subunit ribosomal RNA", at positions 29 to 507 of the family's 1533-position model. The record is from RNAcentral.